This 440-nucleotide long non-coding RNA is filed under the name Homo sapiens (human). RNAcentral describes it as "HSALNT0064067". The record is from RNAcentral. Lineage: Eukaryota; Metazoa; Chordata; Mammalia; Primates; Hominidae.
CGCCCUCUCGGGCUACCAUUGGCUACCAGAUUCCCGAGGCUCCGCCCAGUCACGUGAAGAGCGCCCUGGCAACCCCACGUGCUGCGGAUUAGUGCACUUCCGGCGUGGAGCGCACUUUCAGCAGUCUGGUUGCCGAGGGUGAGCUCGCUGGCAGAGGAACUUGCGCCUUCCAACUCUUAGGUUUGUUGCGUUCGGGUCGCAGUCGACUUUAAUGGGAACCAAGCAAAGCACCCAAUGGCCCCUGCCAUCAGGUGCGUGGCAGUUAUCACAUGACGAUCGUCAGAACUCGCGAGGCGCGCAGAUUCAGCGAGUGCCAGUGUGGCUGGCUGUGAAGCGAACUUUGGGUUCGAGCUUCUGGUUCAGCUUGCAGCCUUUCUUGGGGUUCGAACCUCCUCCUGGUCCUUAAAGAAGAAUUCAGGUCCUCACCAGAAGCUAACUGA